This 1956-nucleotide long non-coding RNA is filed under the name Gallus gallus (chicken). The record is from RNAcentral. Lineage: Eukaryota; Metazoa; Chordata; Aves; Galliformes; Phasianidae.
UGCUAACUGAUUUCCGCUGCGGAGUUAUAUGGGAUUCUCUUUUUCUAUAUAGGCAACUUUCAUGUUAGCUGGGAUAUUCUUGCUCACAGUUUUUAGGGUUUCCAUCCUGUGGUUGUAGUAAAAAGUAUAUAUAGUACAACCCAUCGUUCCCUCUCUCCCCUCCCAGUAAACGCAACUCCAUCUUAACUCUCUCAUUAGAGCGUCGUAUGCCUAAUGAUGUCUUCCCAGAUAGCAGCUAAUUAUUGGGUUUUGGUUUUGGUUUGGAUUUGCUUUUUUUCCCUUUUGCCGUGGUUUUGCCAUCCUCCAGAGGAUGAGAACUUGAUUGAAAGCUAAUCGUGAAAUGCCACAAAUAGUGUGGCUUUGGGACACGAUGGUGCCCAAACUUCAGGGGAACCUCAGCAAACUUCUGACCUCCCUUUUAGUGACCCCCGGGGUAGUUGCAGACCCGGAAACACUCUCCCUCCAGCCUCCCACUAAAGUUAAUGGGUCAAACAAGCUCCCUCUCCUUUAUUUGCCAAAUAUUUACAUCAUCCAAAGUACAGAUGACGUGUCUGUUCGUGCCUUCAUCACCUCACAGCCGAAUUAUUCCUUCCAGGCAACGCUUUCCAAAGGGUUACGGGAGCACGGGGCUCCCCCGGCAGCAGGGUUGGCAGAGGGCUGCGCCAGGAGAUGGCAGAUGAUUUCACACCGCAAAGAACUCGCGAAGCAACAUGGCGUUGUGGGAGCGGAUGACAGUCGGUAAUUAGUGGCAGGCUGCGGGGAUCUUCCUCGCUCACAAUGGGAAGGAAGCUGCUCGGAGCGGGGACACGGAGCUGGCACAGCGGCAGGGAAGCGGCCUCGAGUUGCGUGCAAGAGUCGGAGGAAUUUCUUCCUUUAGGUAUCGGUGCUUAGGACCGGGGGGCACGCUUGGCUAGAGACGGACCUUCAUUGUUCGGCCGCUCGUUAUCCUGCAUGUCACAGAGGUUGCUACGAGACCACUCCCUUUUCUCUGUGCCACUAUUGGACUAAAUCUACUUGGGCUCCCGGGACGUCGCGAAUUGUCUUCAGAGCGUGGGAACCCCGGCGUGUGCCCUCAGCUCCGCUCAGCAGCUUGGCACCGCCGCCGCUUCUUCUCCCCGGGUAUCUCGGGCUGCUCCUGCCGGGCUGGGGCUGCUCCUCCUGCCCCGGAAACAAUGGGAGCUCCCGGCCCAUUGUGUGGGCUCAGCGCAGAGCCGUGCGUGGGUGCGGGGACACGGGUGGCCGUGCCCAGGUGGGAGCCGCCGUGUGCGGGGUCAUCAGGGACCGGCUCAGCCCCCGCACGGCCCGGAUAACCGCGGGGCUCAAACGCAGAGAUCUGGGUCGUUUCCAGAAUAAAGAACGUGUUGGAAGCGCAGUCAGCUGUCGGGUAUUUAAGAAUGGGAUUUAGCCCGCAACAGGGCCACAUAUGUAAGUGCUUAUCUAAAGAAGACAUAAAAUACAAUAAGCUUUGGGGGAAAAAUUCAUGAUUCAGCAAAAAUAAAGGGAGUAAUAUAUUUACCCGGAGAUGCAAGUUAUCAGCUAGCGUGCAUUUGGCUGGUGUAAUGUUUAAAGGAAAAUACUGUAUAAUUCCUGUUUGGAGAACGUGUUCACGGUAUGGGUGGAAAAACAUUAGUUCCAUCUAACAUGAAGAGUAGCAAAUGUCUGUUGUUAUUAAAGGCAGCACGUAAUAUAUAUACCUGAGAAAUGUACUCUAGGCGCUAGAAAGCAUUUUCUAGACUCCGGUUUUACUAGUGUUUUACCGAAUAAAAUUUUAACAGAAAUGCGUGUGCAUGGUGAAAUGUAAAGCUAAUUGGAGAACACGGGAUCGUAUCGCGGUAUCGGGUAACUCUCUGCUGGGAGGUGGAUGGUGCAGGGAGCACCCAGGGCUUGAGCCGAGGGCACGUAGGCGCUGCAAAGCACUCAGCCGAGGCCAGCUGGCUGCCUCUGCCCCGCACCCGG